AGUGAACGCUGGCGGUAGGCCUAACACAUGCAAGUCGAACGGCAGCACAGUAAGAGCUUGCUCUUACGGGUGGCGAGUGGCGGACGGGUGAGGAAUACGUCGGAAUCUACCUUUUCGUGGGGGAUAACGUAGGGAAACUUACGCUAAUACCGCAUACGACCUACGGGUGAAAGCAGGGGAUCUUCGGACCUUGCGCGAUUGAAUGAGCCGAUGUCGGAUUAGCUAGUUGGCGGGGUAAAGGCCCACCAAGGCGACGAUCCGUAGCUGGUCUGAGAGGAUGAUCAGCCACACUGGAACUGAGACACGGUCCAGACUCCUACGGGAGGCAGCAGUGGGGAAUAUUGGACAAUGGGCGCAAGCCUGAUCCAGCCAUACCGCGUGGGUGAAGAAGGCCUUCGGGUUGUAAAGCCCUUUUGUUGGGAAAGAAAAGCAGCAGGUUAAUACCCCGCUGUUCUGACGGUACCCAAAGAAUAAGCGCCGGCUAACUUCGUG
RNAcentral lists this ribosomal RNA (492 nucleotides) under uncultured bacterium. RNAcentral describes it as "partial 16S ribosomal RNA". It matches the Rfam family "Bacterial small subunit ribosomal RNA", at positions 29 to 507 of the family's 1533-position model. The record is from RNAcentral.